Long non-coding RNA from Crotalus tigris (Tiger rattlesnake), 4811 nucleotides. RefSeq lists it as uncharacterized. The transcript is spliced from 3 exons. The record is from RefSeq and is a predicted model, not a curated record. Lineage: Eukaryota; Metazoa; Chordata; Lepidosauria; Squamata; Viperidae.
UCUGUUUUUUGAUUAUCUUUUCCAGUAUCUUCCCAGGUGUUAGGCUGAUUGGUGUAUAGUUUCAUGGAUAUUUUUUUUCUUGGUCAUGUUUGAAAACCCAGUUUCUUAUAUUUGUACAAUACACUGAACUUAAAACUAAUCAAGCUAGACUAGACCUGGCCAGUUUACAGUUCAGUGUGUUGUUGAACCUGGAUUCAGGAAGACCAAAAACAGAAUGCUAAUCAGCGAGUGAAUGGAUGAUGCAGCUACUGCAUCACACACAGAGUGCAACAGACCUGCAGCUGUUCCUCAGACCUCCCCCUACCUAAGAAGCACCAGGUCACCUUGAACAAGUCUACUGGCCAACUGCCUCCGGGCAAACCAUGCUAUAGUAAUCUCUUCUGCCACGUUUUCUCCUAUACCACCACUUCUGAGCACCAAGAGCUUCCUAAGAUCUACCAGCAGAGAGAAUCUGCACAGGGACAUCUGAUAGGAAGAUGGAAUAUGAAAUUUUUUGCUACUCCCACAAUCCCAAUAUAAGAAAUAAUAUCAGUAAUCAAGAUCAUAAUGGCAGUUUUCCUACUACUGAGAAUAAUGUGGAAAAGUGAUCUGUUUUCUGAUAAACUAGCUGAUGCUUUAUCAGUUGAAGAGCAGGGUGAGUAUAGCUUUGCAGGCUGUAUAAACGAUCCGCACAGUCCACAAGUAUGCCCUAAAAUAUUGUGAACUAAUGAAGAACAGUUCCAGUCAGAGAACUCAUUUGAUACCUAGUGGUAGAGAGACAAAAGGAGGAUCGGAGAGAGAGAGAAAAGGAAAAAAAGAGGGAUGGCAGGUUUAACCUGCUCUUAGGUCUCUCCACCAUUGUCUCUGCUUCCAGUGGGCUUUUUCUUGAGGACGAAGAGAAAAAAAAAUCUUACCUGUGCCAAGUCAAACUCUUCAGCAAAAUGAAAUAUUCAUUAUAACACUCCCAGACACACCGUAGAAAAGCGAACUGACUGAAUUGAAUAUUGAAAAUUGAAUUGUAGAUCCAAAGCAAAGCAAUAUAAACAAGGGUACAUCUGGAUGUUAGUUUGUUAAUUUUUUCUUGGUUGAUUUGGUCCUUUUGCUGUUGUCAAUUCAGAUCCACAAGGCUAAUCUUCAAACUCUGUUCCAAGAUAGGAAUCUAAAAAUAAGUCCUUCAGUGCUACAUCACCUCUCUAUGAAUGUCCCUGAGCUAUCUGAGAGGAGCCAUGGCAGGGGCAUCCACAGGUAUGGUAAAAAAAAAAAAAGAUAAGAUGCUGGUCAUGAUGAUGCAAAAAGCUCUGCCCAUCACAUGUUCAUAUAAGACAGGUGGAUCUUCAUUGAUCUUAACAGCCCAACUUUAAAGAGAGGAGAACCUGCUUACAGCUAUUUGCAUAUGAGGAACAGAUUUCCUGAAUUGGGCCUCUCAGGUAAGCUGAUCCUAUUUUAUGAAUCAUUUAUACAGUCUUUACUAUUUUAAUAUUGCUCUUGCUUCAGCUGUGGUUACAGCAAGAACAGCAUUAUCCAGGGGUUAGUUAUCUAAUCAUGCCUUUACUGGAAAUAAAUGUAAAAUAAUACAAAUAAAAAUAAAGACAACAAAAUCAGAAAUAAAAUUAUCAUGCUUUUAUUUUUUUUCUAAAAUACUUUUAUUAAAGAAUUUAAUAAUGUUAAAUGGUCAUUCAAACUGAAAUCAGAGGAAAAUAAGAAAAUAAAAGAAAUACAAGUGCAAAAAAUGAAAAACGAAAAGAAAAAAGUAUGAAUAAAGCAAGAAGAAAAGUAUUAAAUUAAACAAUUAAAGAACUGAUUCCCAAUCUUUCUUGCAAUAAGUUUAGACAAUUUAAAUUCCCCACCGUCUAUAAUAUUAUAUACAUGUUUCACGUCUUCUUAUAAUUCCCAUUAUCCAAUAACAAUUAUUGGCAAAAAGUCCAUAAAGAGUUUCCAGAAUUUUAUAAAAAUAUUUCUUUAGCUUUGGCUAAAAGGAAAAACAGUUUUCUAAACUUCCAAAGGAGCAUGGAUGCCAUGCUAAAAUGAUAACAUCACCUUUGUUAAAAAGCUGACAAUGAAGCCUAACAUUCCAGGAUACAAAUCCCCCACUUGAUUUGCAACCUAUUAUUUGCUUAAUCACUCUUAUUUUUAGUAAGCAAGUGAGCAGUUGAUAUCUGAAAUUGCAUGGGAGUGUUCCUGGGGGCAGAACUAAGAAUAAUGGCAACAUUGCCUUGCAGAUACAUUGAAGAAGACAGCAUCCAGGCAAGGCAUGGGCUAUCUUAGCCAUUUCUACAAGCAGUAAAUAUUUCACUGGUCCCAAUCUGUCAACUAUGUCCCAAGUGUUUUGCUUUUCUUGAAAGGUUUCCCUGUUUUUUACCAGGGUAGAAACAAUUUUAACUAAUUUCUGUUGCUGGGUAACGAAGCUUUCAUGAAACACACAGCAGCUUUGAUUCAUGUACAUAUAGACCCCUCCCCUUUGUUCUACUAGUAUCGAAUCUAAGGCCAGCCUAUUUUGCAGUACUACAUCUUUCAGGAAAAGGAGUUCAUCCUGAAGUAGCUCACAGCUUUUUGUGGUAUUAUUUACAAAGCUUCAAAAGCUAUAGACAGAUUUGCAACAAAUUCAGCCAAAUCGUGAAUGUCUUCAUAGUUCAUAGCAACUCCAACAGCUGUAAAUAUUGUUCUCCAAAUUUGUUUUCUUCUAUGUAAUGCAUUCCAGGAGUGAUUGGCGUCCAUAUUCUAUACUGUAACUAUGUCUAAAUUAUCAUUUAAUUUCUUCUGGUGGGACCAGAUGAAUCCCUCCUGGCCAUAGACAAGAUAUUGUUCAAAUUCCUUGUCAGAACUUUGGUAGAGUUUUAAAACCAUGAAUGCUGCAAGUCUACCAAAAUCCAUCAGGUAAUCUGGUGUCUUCAGGAUUAUAUGUGAAGGUCUGAACAUUUUUCAAAGCAGAAGUGCAGUUUUGAGUACUGUAGCUAUUUGCCCCGUGCAGAUUUGCAUUCUAAUAUCCCAGGCUGUUUAAUCAUUAGCUGGAUCAGUACAAGUAUGACAGAAACACCGUGUGUAUAUUCACUAUGUAAUCACCAUAUUUUGAUGAGAUAAUUUCCAUCAUUCAAGACUUGCUAUGUGAAAUGAUGCAUAUAGUUUUGCUAAUACAGCAAAAUUAUACACUUUCUUUAUCAUUUAAUUGUGUUCCCAUUUAAUUCUAACAAAUGAAAUUCUUUUGCAUAUUUAUAGACCUGGAGAAAGGGAGGUGAGACAUGGAAAAGCAAAGAGAAGAUCUUGCCCUUUAAUUCUGUCAGUACUGCACUGUAAUGUAAUUUGUGUUAAAAAUAGAAGUGUUAACUUCUUGCAGUUUGACAUAGAUUCAGCAGAGGGAGCUAAAAGUACAUUCAGAUUUUGAAGAGAAAAAUCACUUUUUUUUCCUGCCCAUCUCUCUACAUACCAUUAAUAUUGUGUUCAACUACUAUAAUUCUCAUUGCUGUUUAGAUAUAUUUAACCUAAAUAAUACAUAUAUAAAUAUUCCUUCUCAUCUAGGUAGUUUAAUAGUCAUAGCACAGGCAAAAGGCAGCCAAUUAUUUAGACUACCAUAUUAUACAAAUCCAAGCUAAGUAGAAACACUUUCAAGAAAAUUGCAUGGAAGAAUGCAGAAACUGAGCUUAUCUUUAUCUUUUUUGCAAUGGUGACCCAGAAUGUUAAUUACUUGAGUAAAUCAUGGAUAAGCAUGUGGUAUGAGUUGUGCAUAUACUGUUUACAAUAAUCUUAUUUUAACAUAUAGUUCACUCUCAAAUUAAACUCAUGACACAUUUUAUUUCCUAGGGGACUAUGGGAAUAGUCUAAAAGUAUCUCUCACCCUCCCUCUUGUUUUACAGGCCAAGAAACUAAGAUGGGUUCCUUCUGAGAUGUUUACCAUGCUCACAUUUCUGCUGCAGGAUAAGCUGCCUCUUGUCAGUCCAUUGCCCUAGUCUUCAAGGUCAAUUCCCACAAAUGUUGUGUGUGUGUGUGCGUCUUCCUAGACUCACAGCUCCUAUUCAAAGAGCAGAUCAUAGCUGUGGCUAAGGAGCUUUUGCAAAGAUUCAUUUUAUUGAUUACAUUUAUUGGUCGUCCAUCUUACCAUAGGGUAACUUUUGAGUGCCAGUUAUGCCAAUUUAUGUUCAUUUACACCUUGAUCGCUUUCUGAUUGGACUACUGCAACAUGCUCUACAUGGGGCUGCCCUUGAAGAUCACUUGAGGUCACAACUGGUUAGAAUGCAACAGUAUAUGUGGUGUUGGAUGCCCCUAGGUUUGUCCAUUAUACACCCCUAUUGUGCGAGCUGCGCUGACUUGCAGUUUUUUCCCAGUUUUAAUUCAAGGUGCUGAUUAUUUUCUUUAAAGCUCUACAUAGCACACGGCCAGGUUAUUUGCACAAUCACCUCUCCCUAAGUGAUUCUGCCCAAUUCUACCAAACUGGAAAGAGCAGAUUUCCUCUAGAUUCCCUCCCUUAAAUAUUGCCAUUUAGUGGAACCAAGGAAGGGUCCCUUUUCCAUAGCAACUCUUGCCUGGUGGAAUACUCUUCCCUUAGAGUUUCAGCAGGUCACCAGCCUCUUGACUUUCUGGAAGGCUGCUAAAGGCUACUCCUUCCCCCUAGUGCUGGCAUAGGAUGAGGUUGGAGCCUGGAGAUCAUGGUGCCAGCUGCAUUGGAGGUUAUUGGUCGUGGUUUCAAGUUUUUCUUUUUGUCAUUGCUUUUUUAUUAUGUGUAUCAUUUUUCUAUGAUGUUUUUGGUUCUGUACAAUUGCUAUGAGCCACCCAGUUGUGUCUGAAGGUGGACAGCCAUAUAAGUCUUAUGAAUAAAUAAAACAAUUGACUUGUAGUAGCAC